CUUUUCUUUUUCUUGUCUCUCACUUCCUUUCCAAGAAAACCUCUUUACAAUAAUUAAAAGCUGUUUCUCUUCUCACCAACUCACCAAACUCGGGCAAACUCAGUCGUUCUCAAUUCUCGUUGACAGACAGCCAACUCUUCUUCAUCUGCUUCUUCUUUUUUUGGUCUCAAAACACGUGAGAUCUACUCCUUCCGCUUCAACUCACUCCCCGUCAACCCAGUCAACUUUCUCUUCUUCACUCACAUUGUAAAUAUUUGUUGUUCCCCCCCCCCUUUUUCUUCCUCAAAAUUUCCGUCUCAUAUUUCAACUCAUUCGACUAAGGACUCACUGCUAUUUGUGCAAGUAAUUUCUUUAAGGAGUCGAGAUCGGUUAGCUUGUGGUCUUCCAACUCUGUUCCGAUCUCUCGUUUCAACCUACUCCAAGAUCGGUUGAAAUCGCGAUCCAUGAACUCGGUUUUUAGACUCAGUCCGAGUUCUGGGUAGAUUGAGGAUCGAGUCGAGUUGUGGUUGACUCUAUGUAGAGCUAUCCCUUCAGAAUUAGGGUUUUUGGAAGAUUUUUUUUUCGAAGUAUGGCAGCUGUGCGAAGGUGGAGUGAGGGCAUGGCCUCAGAUAAUGUUAAGGGUUUGGUUUUAGCGCUUUCUUCCAGUUUAUUUAUUGGAGCAAGUUUCAUUGUUAAGAAAAAAGGCUUGAAGAAAGCUGGUGCUUCUGGUAUCAGGGCAGGCAGUGGAGGUUAUUCUUACUUGUUGGAGCCACUUUGGUGGGUAGGCAUGAUAACAAUGGUUGUUGGGGAAAUUGCUAAUUUUGCAGCUUAUGCAUUUGCACCUGCUAUACUGGUUACUCCUCUUGGUGCCCUCAGUAUAAUUAUCAGUGCGGCCCUAGCACAUAUAAUUUUACGGGAAAAAUUACAUACUUUUGGGAUUCUUGGUUGUGUUUUAUGUGUCGUGGGAUCUACAGCAAUCGUUUUGCAUGCUCCCCCAGAACGUCAGAUUGAAUCUGUAACGGAAGUUUGGGAUCUUGCUACAGAGCCAGGGUUCCUAUUUUACGCAUUAUUGGUCUUAACAGCUGUCUUUAUACUUAUAUUCCACUUUGUUCCACAAUAUGGACAGUCACACAUUAUGGUUUACAUUGGAGUUUGCUCUCUUGUGGGUUCCAUUUCGGUCAUGAGUGUUAAAGCAGUUGGUAUAGCCUUGAAGUUAACUUUUUCAGGAAUGAAUCAGCUUGUAUAUCCACAAACAUGGGCCUUUACUUUAGUUGUGGUUACUUGUGUGGUUACUCAAAUGAAUUAUUUAAACAAGGCACUUGAUACUUUCAACACAGCUGUUGUUUCUCCCAUAUACUAUGUUAUGUUCACGACACUGACCAUUUUGGCGAGUGUAAUCAUGUUUAAGGAUUGGGACAGGCAAAACCCUACGCAGAUUAUAACAGAGAUGUGUGGAUUUGUGACUAUCCUUUCAGGAACUUUUCUUCUUCACAAAACCAAGGACAUGGUUGAUGGUACAAGUUUGACAUCUAUGUCAAUGCGACAAUUAAAGCACGAAGAAGAGGAUGACUUUGACGAAAGCAUCCCUCUUAAGCGGCAGGAUUCUUUGAGAAUACCUUGAUUGAAACAAAACUUUAGGUCAUCCUACAAAUCUCAGUAGAGCUUAUGGGGAGAAGCCUUAUUGAUGUCAAUGUGUAUUUUACGACCAAACUUAUUCAAUCACACUCAUAUUUUGGAGGGAGUUAUCCGAGGAGAGCAGACACUGAAGCACAAUGAGUGGAUUCAUAGUUGCAUUUCUCACAGCAAGAUUGGAGCAGCUCAAUUACUUUUUGGCACCUACAAUGCACAAACAUGGAUCCUUUCAUAACAAGUGGAAACAUGUAAUGGAAAACAAAUAUGUAGUAGUCCAACAUCAAGCAUAAACAAAAUCUCUGACCCGAACUUGAAACUUUGAAUCCGAAUUUGAUUCAAUUCGAUUUGAUCUUAAAACACUAAUUGAACUCGGAAAUGAUCGUGAA
RNA transcript from Gossypium raimondii (Peruvian cotton), 1997 nucleotides. It is a transcript of the gene named probable magnesium transporter NIPA3, with no coding region annotated. The transcript has 10 exons. Lineage: Eukaryota; Viridiplantae; Streptophyta; Magnoliopsida; Malvales; Malvaceae. The record is from RefSeq and is a predicted model, not a curated record.